This 280-nucleotide non-coding RNA is filed under the name Phascolarctos cinereus (koala). The record is from RNAcentral. Lineage: Eukaryota; Metazoa; Chordata; Mammalia; Diprotodontia; Phascolarctidae.
GCAUGGUGGUGCACACCUUAAUCUUAGCCACUGGAGAGGCUGAGGCUGUCAGAUCUCUGGAGCUCAGGAGUUUUGAGCUGCAGUAGGCUAUUCAGAGGCCAUGCCAAACUAAGUUCAGCACCCAUAUUUUGAGCCCCUGGGAGCAGGGCUCAAAUAUUGCCCAAGGAGGGCUGAACAAGCCCACAUCAGAAAUGAAAUGAGUCAAAGCCCCCAUGCCAGUCAGUAGUGGAAUGGUCGCAUAAGCAGCCUCUACACUUCUAAGAGGGAAGACCCAGUCUUC